RNAcentral lists this ribosomal RNA (253 nucleotides) under uncultured prokaryote. RNAcentral describes it as "partial 16S ribosomal RNA". It matches the Rfam family "Bacterial small subunit ribosomal RNA", at positions 525 to 777 of the family's 1533-position model. The record is from RNAcentral.
ACGUAGGGGGCUAGCGUUGUCCGGAAUCAUUGGGCGUAAAGCGCGCGUAGGCGGCCCGGUAAGUCCGCUGUGAAAGUCCAGGGCUCAACCCUGGAAUGCCGGUGGAUACUGCCGGGCUAGAGUUCGGGAGAGGCGAGUGGAAUUCCUGGUGUAGCGGUGGAAUGCGCAGAUAUCGGAAGGAACACCAGUGGCGAAAGCGGCUUCCUGGUCCAGCACCGACGUUCAGGCACGAAAGCGUGGGGAGCAAACAGGA